RNAcentral lists this ribosomal RNA (1374 nucleotides) under Paenibacillus ferrarius. RNAcentral's name for it is "bacterial LSU rRNA". It matches the Rfam family "Bacterial large subunit ribosomal RNA", at positions 1551 to 2925 of the family's 2925-position model. The record is from RNAcentral. Lineage: Bacteria; Bacillati; Bacillota; Bacilli; Caryophanales; Paenibacillaceae.
UAAGGCUGGGCUGUGAUGGGGAGGGAAACUUUAAGUACCGUAGGUCAUGAUUUCACACUGCCAAGAAAAGCUUCUAGCCAGGCGAAGGUGCCCGUACCGCAAACCGACACAGGUGGGUGAGAAGAGAAUUCUAAGGCGCGCGGAAGAACUCUCGUUAAGGAACUCGGCAAAAUGACCCCGUAACUUCGGGAGAAGGGGUGCCUCGGUAGGGUGAAUAGCCCGAGGGGGCCGCAGUGAAAAGGCCCAAGCGACUGUUUAGCAAAAACACAGGUCUGUGCGAAGCCGCAAGGCGAAGUAUACGGGCUGACGCCUGCCCGGUGCUGGAAGGUUAAGAGGAGUGGUUAGGGGCAACCCGAAGCUAUGAAUUGAAGCCCCAGUAAACGGCGGCCGUAACUAUAACGGUCCUAAGGUAGCGAAAUUCCUUGUCAGGUAAAUUCUGACCCGCACGAAUGGCGUAACGACUUGGGCGCUGUCUCAACGAGAGAUCCGGUGAAAUUUUAAUACCUGUGAAGAUGCAGGUUACCCGCGACAAGACGGAAAGACCCCAUGGAGCUUUACUGCAGCUUGAUAUUGGACUUUGGUACGAUCUGUACAGGAUAGGUGGGAGCCUUUGAAGCCUGAGCGCCAGCUUGGGUGGAGGCGACGUUGGGAUACCACCCUGAUCGUAUCGGAGUUCUAACCUGGUACCGUGAUCCGGUAUGGGGACAGUGUCAGGUGGGCAGUUUGACUGGGGCGGUCGCCUCCUAAAAUGUAACGGAGGCGUUUAAAGGUUCCCUCAGAAUGGUUGGAAAUCAUUCGCAGAGUGCAAAGGCAUAAGGGAGCUUGACUGCGAGACCUACAAGUCGAGCAGGGACGAAAGUCGGACUUAGUGAUCCGGUGGUACCGAAUGGAAGGGCCAUCGCUCAACGGAUAAAAGCUACCCUGGGGAUAACAGGCUUAUCUCCCCCAAGAGUCCACAUCGACGGGGAGGUUUGGCACCUCGAUGUCGGCUCAUCGCAUCCUGGGGCUGAAGUAGGUCCCAAGGGUUGGGCUGUUCGCCCAUUAAAGCGGUACGCGAGCUGGGUUCAGAACGUCGUGAGACAGUUCGGUCCCUAUCUGUCGCGGGCGUAGGAAAUUUGAGAGGAGCUGUCCUUAGUACGAGAGGACCGGGAUGGACGUACCGCUGGUGUACCAGUUGUCUCGCCAGAGGCAUAGCUGGGUAGCUAUGUACGGAGGGGAUAAGCGCUGAAAGCAUCUAAGCGCGAAGCCCCCCUCAAGAUGAGAUUUCCCAGUAUGUAAGACCCCUUGUAGACGACGAGGUUGAUAGGUUCGAGGUGGAAGUGCGGCAACGUAUGCAGCUGACGAAUACUAAUCGGUCGAGGGCUUAACCUAUAU